UCUAAACAGAGUCCUUCGGGACGAAGUUUUUAAAACCUAGUGGCGGACGGGUGAGUAACGCGUGGGUAACGUACCUUUUAGUGGGGAACAACAGUGAGAAAUUACUGCUAAUACCGCAUACGGUCAUCUUACCGCAUGGUGAGAUGAAGAAAGACGGCCUCUCGACGAAGCUGUCGCUAAAAGAUCGACCCGCGUCUGAUUAGCUAGUUGGUGAGGUAACGGCUCACCAAGGCGACGAUCAGUAGCCGGCCUGAGAGGGUGAACGGCCACAUUGGGACUGAGACACGGCCCAAACUCCUACGGGAGGCAGCAGUGGGGAAUCUUCCGCAAUGGGCGAAAGCCUGACGGAGCAAUGCCGCGUGAACGAAGAAGGUCUUCGGAUUGUAAAGUUCUGUCCUUAUCGAAGAGAGGCAUAUGGAGUAACUGCUAUAUGCAGGACGGUAGAUGAGGAGGAAGCCCCGGCUAACUACGUGCCAGCAGCCGCGGUAAUACGUAGGGGGCGAGCGUUGUCCGGAAUCACUGGGCGUAAAGGGCGCGUAGGCGGCAAUAUAAGUCAGAUGUGAAAGGUGAGGGCUCAACCCUUAGACUGCAUCUGAUACUGUAUAGCUUGAGUGUGAGAGAGGAAAGCGGAAUUCCUAGUGUAGCGGUGAAAUGCGUAGAUAUUAGGAGGAACACCAGUGGCGAAGGCGGCUUUCUGGCUCAUAACUGACGCUGAGGCGCGAAAGCGUGNGGAGCAAACAGGAUUAGAUACCCUGGUAGUCCNCGCCGUAAACGAUGGGUACUAGGUG
Molecule: ribosomal RNA, 788 nt
Filed under: uncultured bacterium
Lineage: Bacteria
Description: bacterial SSU rRNA
Rfam family: Bacterial small subunit ribosomal RNA
Source: RNAcentral